UGCGGUUCAAUUGGAGUCAACGCCGGGAAUCUUACCGGGAGCGACAGCAGAUUGAAGGUCAAGCUGAAGACUUUACCAGACGAGCUGAGAGGAGGUGCAUGGCCGUCGCCAGCUCGUGCCGUGAGGCGUCCUGUUAAGUCAGGCAACGAGCGAGACCCCUACUUCUAAUUGCUUUAACAGGUAUCGCAAGGUGUUUGUGGCUAGUUAGAAGGACUGCCGCCGCUAAGGCGGAGGAAGGAAGGGGCCACGGCAGGUCAGUAUGCCCCGAAACUCCCGGGCCACACGCGGGCUGCAAUGGUAAGGACAAUGGGUUCCGAUCUCGAAAGAGCUAGGCAAUCCCCAAACCUUACCCCAGUUGUGACUGAGGGCUGUAACCCGCCCUUACGAAUCUGGAAUCCCUAGUAACCGCGUGUCACCAUCGCGCGGUGAAUACGUCCCUGCUCCUUGCACACACCGCCCGUCGCUUCACCGAAGUUGGGCUAGGACGAGGUGGCGUCUUGUUGGCGCUAUCGAAUCUUAGCUCGGCAACGGGGGAGAAGUCGUAACAAGGUGGCCGUAGGGGAACCUGCGGCUGGAUCACCUCCUU
Molecule: ribosomal RNA, 586 nt
Filed under: uncultured bacterium
Lineage: Bacteria
Description: bacterial SSU rRNA
Rfam family: Archaeal small subunit ribosomal RNA
Source: RNAcentral